GACGAACGCUGGCGGCGUGCUUAACACAUGCAAGUCGAACGGAAAGGCCCUGCUUGCAGGGUACUCGAGUGGCGAACGGGUGAGUAACACGUGGGUGAUCUGCCCUGCACUUCGGGAUAAGCCUGGGCAACUGGGUCUAAUACCGGAUAGGAGCCAUUUUUAGUGUGAUGGUUGGAAAGUUUUUUCGGUGUUGGAUGAGCUCGCGGCCUAUCAGCUUGUUGGUGGGGUAAUGGCCUACCAAGGCGGCGACGGGUAGCCGGCCUGCGAGGGUGGACGGCCACAUUGGGACUGAGAUACGGCGCAGACGCCUACGUGAGGCAGCGGUGGGGAGUAUUGCACAAUGGGCGCAAGCCUGAUGCAGAGACGCCGCGUGGGGGAUGACGGCCUUCGGGUUGUAAACUCCUUUCGCUAGGGACGAAGCUUUUUGUGACGGUACCAAGAUAAGAGGCACCGGCUAACUACGU
This 464-nucleotide ribosomal RNA is filed under the name uncultured bacterium. RNAcentral describes it as "partial 16S ribosomal RNA". It matches the Rfam family "Bacterial small subunit ribosomal RNA", at positions 28 to 506 of the family's 1533-position model. The record is from RNAcentral.